AACAGCCGCCUCAAGUCCUAGACACCCUGACUUCCCUGCCACGGAUAGGCCGUGCUUCAAAUCUUGAGCCAGAAUCAACCCUUUCUCACUGAAGUCGCUGCUGUCAAAGCAUUGUAUCCCUGCAGCAAGCACAGCAACUUAGACAGGGCUUUGGAGUUGAGGUUGAGGACAUUCUCUGUGUCUGUCUCCAUCUCUCUCCUUUUCAGGGCUGGGGAGGAGCUCAAGGCCUCAGGCGUGCCAGGCGGGUGCUCUACCACAGAGAUCCCUUCAGGCAGGGCAUGCUGUCUUAGUCCCCACAAGUUCCCAGACAGUAUGAGAAGCGUUCCUCAAGCCACUCACUGAGACGCUGACGCUCCCUGCCUUUGAAGAGGGAGAACUGUCAUCUCAGACCCUGGGGCACAUCUGCAGGAACCUGCAUGGCUUCUCCUGCUCUGUGUAAACACUGAAGAAGGCAGGGAGAGGACGGGAUGGUAGAGGAGGAGGGUGGCAGUGGGCAGAUUACUUGCUUUUCAACACUUGAUACCAAGGGAAAGAGCUUGGUGGGGUUUGUUUGCUUGUUUUCUGAUUUUAAAACAAGAGCCCUGUGGGCCAGAUAGGAGCAGCUGGAGGCUGACCAGAAAACCACAGACAAGAGCAUCUCUCUGGUCAGGAGCUGGGGAGGGCCUUCCUAAGGGGUUAAGCUGGACUUGCUGUCAGCUUUCCAGCUCUGUGAUAAAUAUCUAAAGGGAAACAUUUCCAAAAGCAGAAAGCUUUACGUUGGCUCAUAGUUUUAUGGGUUCCUUCCUGUGGACAUGUAGCUUCUCUGUAUUGGGCCCUGUGAGUCAGGUGAGGCAAGAAACUACCGCCUGGAGCAGGGUGGAGAAAAAUAUCUCACCUUGUAGCUGCCAGGAAGUGGUGAGUGAGGCUGGAAUGGAGAGGAGAGAAUGUAUAAAAAUGUAUCUUCCCAGGUCAAGACCCCUAUGACCUACUCCUCCAGUUAGGACCCACCUCCGAGUGACAUCACAAUGUUAGGAGGCUAAGGAUGAGGCCAUUGAUUAUAUUGCCACAGGGACAAAGUCUGACUCACCCAGAGUGCUCCUCAAGAGGACCCAAUGCUGUUCAACAUCCAUUUCAUUGAAGACCCCUGGGGCAAUCUAGAACUGUUUUGGAGUCAUUGCCCAGGGCCGAGAGGAAUGUGGAACACUCAUUUUCAGAAGCAAAGUCUGACCUCAUCGUUCUGACGACAGCCCAUAGGUGGCCACGGUGGUCAAGUAAACCCCCAGUCCUUCUGGAAAGCACCAAUCCAAAGGCCUCAUUCUCCCCACUGAAGCAGAGCUUCCUCCCACAGCCAGCUGGCUAACUCAUAGCUGUCGCAGGAGACUUGGGAGGACCCUGUCCUACCUCGUACACCCCAGCGUGUGGAGGGCUGCUCUUCAGACUCUGUGCCAAGCACUUUUGUACACAUCUGUAAGUCAUAGUAACACUGUAGGGUACUGGCCGUGAAACACAUUUCAUACACCAGAAAACGGAUAAGACAAUGGAUAAGCGUACAUAGCUUCUUUAAGAUCACGGUGUGUAAUAGAUCAGUAUUAGCUCAGGACCCCUAGGACUAAGUUCUCAGCACAAAGGAGAUUGAUUUGCCUCAGAGGGACAAAGGACAGGGAAUAAGAGACAACGAUAGGAGAUAGAGAGUAAGAGAGAAGGGGAAGAGAAAAAGAGAAAGGUGGGAGGGGUAUUUGUCCGGGAGGGACAAGGGCUGCCUCUGGAUAGAGAGGAGACAGAUGUGGCCCAUAGGUAAACAGUGGUUUGCGAAGGUAAAAGGUAUCCUAUCUGUGUUAGGAUAAGGUGUUCAAUUUUAAUUGGGCAUCUUAAUUAGGUGAGUCAAAGGGGGCUUUUGAUUGCUAGACUUUAGUACUUCUAUAUCUGGACCUUGGUAGACAUCCUCAGGAGGAGGAAGUGGCCAAAUAAGGGAAUAGAUCUCGGUGGCUAGGUUUAGGAAUAUAAUAAAAUGUGGUUUUGUUUUUUUUUCAAGGCAAAGGGAAUGGGGGAGAAGGGCAAAGCCUGGAAGAGCGAUAUCACACUCAAGGUGGCCUGAGUCCCCUCUAGGUGUUUGAGCCAAAAAAAGCUAUAGUUAUUUUCCAUUGUCCUUCUAACACUUGAACUUGAUCUAAUGUGUAGUCUAUGUAUAGGACGCUGUUGCCAACAGUGUCUUCUUAAUGUGGCUAACACAUGCUCAUCCUUCCCUACCUCUCACACAGGGGACCAGCAAUGCUAUUGGCAUUGAAUUAGAAUGGAUGUUUGACCAAAUACCCAAUACACUGUCAAAGUUUGGUGUUUCACUUCGCUUCUGCGCACAGGGCUAAGACUUAGGAAUUAAAUGUAGGGUCUUGCACCAUACACCUAGUCAUUUACACAGAAUUAAAGCUUAGGUGCAAUGUAACGUGAGACCUCCAGAUGGCACCAGAAAGCCGAGAAAGAAAAACCAGAAUGGCAUUUUCAAUGAGUCUUUGUCUUGUUUCUGAGAGGCAGGCGGGCAGGCUGAGGGAAAUAGCCCCCUGUCACGCAGUCAUUCUUCAAGGAAGGGGACUGUCUGAUGACACAUUUUGCAAAUGUCCAGCGGUUAGAGACACACGAUUGGGGAACUUUGUGAAGCAAACGCAGGCCUUGCGUUUCUGCACGGCGCCUUGAGAGUCAAGAGGGUGGUUCUAUAGGCUGUCUCGGGAACAAAGUGCGGAAAGAUAGAUGUGUUGCUGCAGAGCCCAUCGCUAAAGCUUUUGUUGCGGUACAAUCAGAUACACAGAGAUACCUGCAGAAAAAUGGGGAACCGAAGAGGCCACCGUCCCAGCGUUCUCAAUUAUAAUAGCAAGUCCUCUUAGGGCCUCUUACUAAGCCCAAAGAAACAAAGAAACAAUGAACCCCGCUCUGAAAACUGAUAGUGGUCUUUCAACCGCCUGCAAAGAGUCGGGGAGAUGGGUCCCCAAAUACAAGGGUUUAAAAGCAGAUGAUGAAAACGAGAAACCAGAAGCAUGCGAGCCCUGCUGCAAACACUCCACAUGAUUUCUGGGGGAUCAGGCUACCAGGGUGAACAAGGAGCAUCUGGGUGUGCCUGCUGUUUCGUCUGGAGGCGUGCAACUCCACGGAGAGCUCACUAGUUCACAAGGAGUCUCUUUAUCCUGGUGGGCUGUGACCAGAUGUUGGGUUCCUACCUCGACUUCCCUCAAGCGAUGGACUUUGUCUUAAAAUUGUAAGCCAAAUAACCCUUUCCCCCCAUUGUGUUGCCUAUUGUCAGGGUGUUUGUAAGAACUGGAAUGGGGUGCUUCUGCUCUCCAAAUUCAUAUGUUCUCAUCACAGAAGGUGAUGGUAAUAUGACACAGGGCCUCUGGGGAGUGAUCGGGCCCCCAGCAGAGGGCUUCCCGGAUGACACUGAUGGCCUUACAAGAGGGACUCCAGGGAUCUGCCUCAUCCCUUUACCAUGCAAGGAUGCAACAUGGCCAUACCAUGUGUCUGGAAUGAGGCUCUUGGUUGACAGUGCUUUGACCAGGAUUGUGGGACUAUGAAGAAUAAAUGUUUAUUGUUCAUAUGCCAA
Long non-coding RNA from Arvicola amphibius (Eurasian water vole), 3565 nucleotides. RefSeq lists it as uncharacterized. The record is from RefSeq and is a predicted model, not a curated record. The transcript is spliced from 3 exons. NCBI's taxonomy places the organism in Eukaryota, Metazoa, Chordata, Mammalia, Rodentia, Cricetidae.